UGGGGGAUAUUGCACAAUGGGCGAAAGCCUGAUGCAGCGACGCCGCGUGGGGGAUGAAUGCUUUCGGGUUGUAAACCUCUUUCGCUAUCGAACAAGGCCCGCUUAGGGUGGGUUGAGGGUAGGUGGAGAAGAAGCGCCGGCUAACUACGUGCCAGCAGCCGCGGUAAUACGUAGGGCGCGAGCGUUGUCCGGAAUUAUUGGGCGUAAAGGGCUUGUAGGCGGCUUGUUGCGCCUGCUGUGAAAACGCGGGGCUUAACUUCGCGCGUGCAGUGGGUACGGGCAGGCUUGAGUGUGGUAGGGGUGACUGGAAUUCCAGGUGUAGCGGUGGAAUGCGCAGAUAUCUGGAGGAACACCGAUGGCGAAGGCAGGUCACUGGGCCAUUACUGACGCUGAGGAGCGAAAGCAUGGGUAGCGAACAGG
This 420-nucleotide ribosomal RNA is filed under the name bacterium. Its description in RNAcentral is "partial 16S ribosomal RNA". It matches the Rfam family "Bacterial small subunit ribosomal RNA", at positions 355 to 776 of the family's 1533-position model. The record is from RNAcentral.